RNAcentral lists this ribosomal RNA (253 nucleotides) under uncultured bacterium. RNAcentral's name for it is "partial 16S ribosomal RNA". It matches the Rfam family "Bacterial small subunit ribosomal RNA", at positions 524 to 776 of the family's 1533-position model. The record is from RNAcentral.
UACGUAGGGGGCAAGCGUUGUCCGGAUUUAUUGGGCGUAAAGAGCGUGUAGGCGGCUUGGUAGGUCCGCUGUGAAAACUCGAGGCUCAACCUCGAGAUGUCGGCGGAAACCACUUGGCUAGAGUCCGGAAGAGGAGAGUGGAAUUCCUGGUGUAGCGGUGAAAUGCGCAGAUAUCAGGAGGAACACCAAUUGCGAAGGCAGCUCGCUGGGACGUAACUGACGCUGAGACGCGAAAGCGUGGGGAGCAAACAGG